RNAcentral lists this unclassified non-coding RNA (336 nucleotides) under soil metagenome. RNAcentral describes it as "partial contains 5.8S ribosomal RNA, internal transcribed spacer 2, and large subunit ribosomal RNA". The stretch from base 1 to 120 matches the Rfam family "5.8S ribosomal RNA", at positions 35 to 154 of the family's 154-position model. The record is from RNAcentral.
GAUGAAGAACGCAGCGAAAUGCGAUAAGUAAUGUGAAUUGCAGAAUUCAGUGAAUCAUCGAAUCUUUGAACGCACAUUGCGCCCGCCAGUAUUCUGGCGGGAAUGCCUGUUCGAGCGUCAUUUCAACCAUCAAGCCCCCGGCUUGUGUUGGGGACCUGCGGCUGCCGCAGGCCCUGAAAAGCAGUGGCGGGCUCGCUGUCACACCGAGCGUAGUAGCAUACAUCUCGCUCUGGGCGUGCUGCGGGUUCCGGCCGUUAAACCACCUUCAUAACCCAAGGUUGACCUCGGAUCAGGUAGGAAGACCCGCUGAACUUAAGCAUAUCAAUAAGCGGAGGA